UUGAUCUCAAAUCAGGUAGGACUACCCGCU
RNAcentral lists this ribosomal RNA (30 nucleotides) under uncultured fungus. RNAcentral describes it as "partial 28S ribosomal RNA". Lineage: Eukaryota; Fungi. The record is from RNAcentral.